RNAcentral lists this ribosomal RNA (350 nucleotides) under uncultured Bacteroidota bacterium. RNAcentral describes it as "bacterial SSU rRNA". It matches the Rfam family "Bacterial small subunit ribosomal RNA", at positions 408 to 755 of the family's 1533-position model. The record is from RNAcentral. Lineage: Bacteria; Pseudomonadati; Bacteroidota.
AUGACGGCCCUAUGGGUUGUAAACUGCUUUUGUACACCAAGAAAACUCGCUACGUGUAGCGAUCUGACGGUAGUGUAUGAAUAAGCAUCGGCUAACUCCNUGCCAGCACCCGCGGUAAUACGGAGGAUGCAACCGUUAUCCGGAUUCAUUGGUUUUAAAGGGUGCGUAGGCGGCUUUUAAUUUCAGUGGUGAAAUCCUGCCCCUUAACGGUAGAAUUGCCAUUGAUACUGAAAGGCUUGAGUCCAGUUGAGGUAAGCGGAAUGUGUAGUGUAGCGGUGAAAUGCUUAGAUAUUACACAGAACACCAAUUGCGAAGGCAGCUUACUAAACUGUAACUGACGCUGAUGCACG